RNAcentral lists this small RNA (94 nucleotides) under Chryseobacterium soldanellicola. RNAcentral describes it as "Flavo-1 RNA". It matches the Rfam family "Flavo-1 RNA". The record is from RNAcentral. Lineage: Bacteria; Pseudomonadati; Bacteroidota; Flavobacteriia; Flavobacteriales; Weeksellaceae.
CCCUAGCCCCGAUUGAAGAGAAAAUCCCGCAAUGGAACGGCGGAGCGAAGCGGAGCCGCGUAAUGAGGAAUUGCAACGGAAAGCGGGAUUAAGC